This 667-nucleotide small RNA is filed under the name Pongo abelii (Sumatran orangutan). RNAcentral's name for it is "processed transcript". Lineage: Eukaryota; Metazoa; Chordata; Mammalia; Primates; Hominidae. The record is from RNAcentral.
AGUUUGACAAUUUUCUCAAGGUAUAGUCACAUGAGGGGAGAAGGAAGAGGAGAGGAUAAAGCCACUGAGCCUGACCAAGGGUAGAGGCAGGGGGUGAAAGAGGUAAGGGGUUGGAGGAGCACCCAGGACACAGAGGGACACCACUCCCCACGGGGCCAGAGAGGGUCUAAAGAGCCUUGCCUCCUCACAGGCCUAUGUGCAUGAAUUCAAAUUCCAAAGCAUCUUAGCCGAUGACUUUCUGGACUUCUACUUGGAAUAUUUCCCUGAGCUUAAGAAAAAGAGAGUGGAUAUCAUUCCAGGUUUUGAGUUUGAUCGAUGGCUGAAUAGCCCUGGCUGGCCCCCUUACCUCCCUGAUCUCUCCCUUGGAGACUCACUCAUGAAGCCUGCAGAAGAGCUAGCCCAGCUGUGGGCAGCCGACGAGCUGGACAUGAAGGCCAUUGAGGCUGUGGCCAUCUCUCCCUGGAAGACCUACCAGCUGGUCUACUUCCUGGAUAAGAUCCUCCAGAAAUCCCCUCUCCCUCCUGGGAAUGUGAGAAAACUUGGAGAGACAUACCCAAGUAUCUCAAAUGCCCGGAAUGCAGAGCUCCGGCUACGAUGGGGCCAAAUCGUCCUUAAGAAUGACCACCAGGAAGAUUUCUGGAAAGUGAAGGAGUUCCUGCAUAACCAG